UCCAAUCACGGACACUUUACCUCCGUCCAAUAGAGGGCGGUGUGGUCAUGUGAUGGCGCUGUGGGUCAUUAGUGAAUUUUGCUACGUGAAUUGGCAGUCUGAUUUGUUACUGAAAGGUGGACUUUUUGCUGUACUGGUGUCAAACACGUGUUUAAAAGGGUUUCUUCCUGCCUCUUAGCUCCUGGCUGAUGAAGGGCACAAGCUCUUACGGUGUUUAUUUUGGACAUUAAAAUCCCUGAUAAACAUCAGUUUCAAGAGAGUAAAGUGUAUCUGUUCAGCUGGAAGUUUAGUUACGGCCGGUGGUUUGUUCUGAAGGAGCUUGACGUCGUCCCUGAGAUGAUCGCAGACUCCAUAUUUCCCUACAGGCCUCUCUGAAGUCAACCAGCGUCCAUCUUUAUCUAGUCGUGCAAGACUGACCGUGUGUGUGUGAGUU
Long non-coding RNA from Silurus meridionalis, 433 nucleotides. RefSeq lists it as uncharacterized. Lineage: Eukaryota; Metazoa; Chordata; Actinopteri; Siluriformes; Siluridae. The record is from RefSeq and is a predicted model, not a curated record. The transcript has 3 exons.